This is a non-coding RNA of Osmia lignaria (orchard mason bee), 3519 nucleotides long. Lineage: Eukaryota; Metazoa; Arthropoda; Insecta; Hymenoptera; Megachilidae. The record is from RefSeq and is a predicted model, not a curated record.
UCCUGCAAGAACAAAAUUAUUCUUUAUUAAUACACUAUUUAUUUCUUUCUUUUAUUAAUAACUAAUUAUUUUAACAUUAUAAGCAUCUUUAACUCUUAAAUGGUGAAUAGCAAUCUAGAAGACUUUGUUGUGAUAUAGUGUUUUUAGUUCCACGUACCGGAAGUUGUGGUAUUACUAUUAAUACGAAAAUGAAAACCUGCUGAUUCGAACAUUUUCAGAUGGCAAAUUUCAGAUAAUUUUCGAAAUGAAAAAAUUGUAUUCUUUAUGGUAAAAAUAUAGUACAUCCUGUUACAUAAACUUUAACAAAGCAUACGAAGUAAAAUAUUUGAGCUUUCCUACGGUGGUACGAAUAAAAACUUUUUCCCAAAAAUUCACGCUAGAGGUUGAAUUCUAUUUUAAAAUAUAACGUGUACAGACGCUGAAAUAAUAUGUAAUAAUAACUAAUACAAGAGCGUGCGAAGCGUACAAGAAUUCAUUCCAUUCCCAGUGAAUACAUUCCAUCCGAAUUAUUAUUAUCUUGCUAAACCUAGAACGGUCGAUAGCUCCGCAGUCGUUGUGACUCAAAGUCGAGCCGAGUCGAACCGAGAAGAGUCGAAUCAAACCGAACUGGACUGUGUAGUUUUGUAGCGCGUCAACGCGUAAAAAGGGCAAGUGCGAAGCGAUAGAUCACACCAAUAAAAGGAUUCUAUGUAUGUAUGUCUCGACUAGAAAGUCUUUCUUUCAUUUCAAUACUUUUCCGCCUAAUUAUGUCAACUAACGGUGACGAACAAUUUUAAAUUGAAUUCUCAUAUCUACUACAACGAUAAAAACGAAUGCAUAGACGAAGAUAUCAUCAAAUCAAUAGUACUAUACAAUGUGCAUAACUUAUUCACGUUGCACAUUCAAUGGACCAUUUGUAGUAUCAAACUUAAUGUAUAAACAUAAUGCGAAAUAAAAUCUAUUGUCUAUCUAUUGCAAGUAAAAUAUGCAAAUUGGAUUAAAUUUAUAUUUAGCAAUAGAAUGAUGACUUCAGGAUUGGUUGAAAAUAAUUUUUGCAAUUCUACCGCUGAAGUAACAAAGUACCGUCGCAUUCAUUGUAACGCUCUAUCAGAGUCGUAUUUGUUGAAAAUUUUACUUGUUAAUAUAAGAAAACUUUCACCGUACUUUUUUCCUUAUCGGUUGCAUCAAAUUUACACGUAUCAGGUAUUUCAAAUAUAUAAAAGAAUAUGUAAGUAUGUUGAAAUGCAGCCCUAACGUUUGCUAACGUUUUCAUGGUUAACUGGAAAUAUGGACAGUGUGAUCUGUAUAUAUUGAGUGUAUCGCGUGAAAACAGAAGUGACGCAAUUGUUAGUAAGAAUUGUUGAAAAUAAAAAUGAAAAAGAUAUUCUUCCAAUACAACAGAUUUAUUUUAAUGUAAAAUAAAAUUAUAUUACAUUUCACAACCAUCUUACAAUUCUAAAAAAUGUAUAGCUUUUUUUAAACGAUACAAGAGCCUUUCGAGCACAAACGAAUUUGACGCCUUUGUAAGCAAUAAAUAUCUAAAUGAUAUACAAAAAUAUUGAACGUAGCAAUUACCGGUGGAAAUUUUUUUCUUAUUUUUUAACAUCUAAAAUUCGGAAAAUUUAAAAGAAAUAUUCUAUGUAAACAUAUGACUCAUAAUUUAUAUAGUUUUAGUUAUUUUAAAUUUGUAUACACAAAGAACACUCAGAAAACAAUUUCAAGAACUCUAAGAUAGCAAAAACUUUGACACAGAAAGAUAACGAAAAUAAGAAUAAUAUAAAAGAGUAUUAAAUUUAGUUGAAAAGAAGGAGAUCUUUGAAAUUUAAAAAAAGUUUAUUCCAUGGCAUCCAAAGAAUAAUGACAAACUUUGAUCUGUAAGGUUUUUAUUCGUAUCGUUUCUAUGAAUCAAGAUAAUUAUGAAUCAUAAGACCGCUACAAAACAUCGUGUCAUUUUCUGAAAGUAAAAAAAGACUAGAAAAUGUUGAUUAAGAUGAAUUGAAUGCAACAAGUUUAGUGUGUGUUGUGUACUUGACAGGUUUAAGGUGGGCAUUUAUAAAAUAUCAAUAUUGCAAUAUCGUGCUGUUCUUUCUAAUCAAAGUACCUCGCAGAUAACUGAUAAAGUACUAUAGAUUCUUCACUUACAUAACAGUGGGCGUGUACUCAAAAUUAAAUAGCCGAUUUAAGACAAUGCAAAAAUAAGCGUCGAAUUUUCCGUACUCGUGUUUCACGGGCUCCGAGAGAAUAACGAACGUGCAGUUGAGGAUGCACAAAGUACCUUCUUCUCUUGAAUUAAUCCAAAAAUAAAACCGAGCCUAAACAUCACUAAUAUUCAACAAAAGUGAUAGUCGGGACGUGUGGCUGUAAUAGCGAAUCGGUAAUUUCGUUACUUGUUCAAAAUAUAAUAUAAUCACUUGCGUUGAAGAUAUUGCAAGAAAACGAAGCCGAUAUAUACGGAAGAACGACACGUCACCAUAGGUUCAACAGUUGCGUUUCCCAACAAUAUGCAUUUCGCAAUUACGACUUGGAGAGUGAAAAGGAUGAAAAAAAAAAAGUAGCAUCGUUAAUUCAUCCAUCUACAAAUACGAUAUUUUGAACAUGUAACAAUUAUAUAACAUACGUACGAUUUUUCUUAUUUUUUUACUUUUUUUUUAAUUAAUCACACGAUGCGUUGUUAUCUUCAAGUUCAUACGAAAAGUGGUCGGAAUAAGAUAUCGCCUAUUAUUAGAUUCGCUAUUUCAGGAUCUUGAAUACCCUCCAGCAUGCUCACAUUGUUCCGGACAGUAUUAUUAAUACCAUUUUUUUGCUAACCGGCGCAGAAAUCACAGGGUAUAUCACUAGAACACAAUGGGGUCUGUUGAGGCAACACCUUUAAAAUCAUUGAAAAAUGAAAUAAGCACGAUGCCCACAGUCUAAAUACGCAGGCAGAGGCAGACACAGCAAUUGUAGCACAGGAAAAUAGCAGAAUAACACUCGGUCGGUAACUUCGCCACCAUAAAGCACUGCGUAAACACGAUAUUUUUAAUAAUCCUUCGAAUAUGGUUAAAUAUAUACACGAAAACUCACAACCACAGUAUGACAGACGAUCAAAUGGAAUGAAACGAAUAAACUACCACGGAUAUGAAUAAACGAAUGAACGAGUGACUAAAGGAACGGAGAACCGAUUAGAACGCACUUCAAGUGUUGCAGAUGAAUACACAUUCGACGAGCACGGGACACAAUAUUGCGGUAAUACAUUUUCAGCUAAAAUGCUAUCGAAUACGUGGUUUCACUCUUGUACACUAUUCAACACUACCACUGUAUAACUGUUUAGGCUUAGAUGCAGGUGCAGAAAUAACCAUUUUCUUUCUUUUCACAAUACCCUUCUCCUUGUUUAUCUUAACCGAAGAAUAAACAAUAACUGGAAAAAGAGGGGGUGAAGACAGAGGGGAAGGGAUAGAAUGCAUUUUAAAAUGUAAUUUAAUAGUAUACGUAUAUAUAUAUUCGACAUACGUAAGAGAAUGAAGUGGAGAAAUUACGUACACUUAACGCAUAUUGUACAAA